GAUGAACGCUGGCGGCGUGCCUAAUACAUGCAAGUCGAACGGAAAGGCGAUGAUCUUGCUGGUCGCACGAGUGGCGAGCGGGGGUGUAAAACGCGUGGAAAACCCACCUGUAAGUGGGGUAAAAUCUGGGGAAAGCGGCGAAUAUCGGAUAGAAGAUCUUGAUGCACAUGGGGGGAUGGAGAAUGUCGGCGGUUGGGGAUGGUAUCGCGGCUUAUCAGCUGGUUUGGGAGGUAGUUGCGUACGAAGUCUUCGACGGGUAGCCGGCCUGAGAGGGUGACCGGCGACAUUGGGACUGCGAGAGGGACCAGUAUGCUACGGGAGGCAGCAGUGGGGAAUAUUGCACAAUGGGCGGACGUCUGUUGCAGCGACGCCGGGUGCGUGAUGCCGGCUUUCGGGUUAAAAACCGCUUUCGCAGGUGACGUAGCGUUAGUGACGGUAAUGGGUAAAGAAGCACCGGCUAACUACGUG
This 468-nucleotide ribosomal RNA is filed under the name uncultured bacterium. RNAcentral describes it as "partial 16S ribosomal RNA". It matches the Rfam family "Bacterial small subunit ribosomal RNA", at positions 28 to 507 of the family's 1533-position model. The record is from RNAcentral.